CCGGCCAAGCAAAGGUCCCUGAAGCCCCGAACAACGACGACGCCAAUGCAGUUAGAUCCGCUGCCGACAGAUGGCGUUGACUACCAUCAGUCAUCAGAUGAACCAUCCUCAUCCUUUCCUUCAACUACUGAACAUACAAACCCUUAUACAGCCUGGUUGUAUUCGAAAGAGCUGAUUGCUAUUAUAGGUGGAGUUCUAGGGUUCUGGGGUGGAGUGGGUUCCCUUGGAACAAUGUUUCUCAUGAUUUUGGUUUCCCAAAGAUAUUGCUGUGUUGAGAAGGAGGAUAAGGACGAACCGGGGUGACUGGGACGAAUGUUUCUCUGCAUAGCUUAUCGUCUUUCCGGCCGGGGGAAGGCUCCGGUUAACAUGGUUUAGACUUCACUUUCAGAUGCAGAAAACAGUUUACUGGAAUUAUAAACUUUACUGGAAUUUUAUUUUUAUUUGAAACCAUUGUGCUUGAAACUAUAACUGUUUGUAUUUAAGUGUGUAAAAGUAAUUUUAUUGAAUUGAAAAAUAUCUAA
Long non-coding RNA from Eurytemora carolleeae, 521 nucleotides. RefSeq lists it as uncharacterized. NCBI's taxonomy places the organism in Eukaryota, Metazoa, Arthropoda, Copepoda, Calanoida, Temoridae. The record is from RefSeq and is a predicted model, not a curated record. The transcript is spliced from 4 exons.